Long non-coding RNA from Carassius auratus (goldfish), 387 nucleotides. RefSeq lists it as uncharacterized. The transcript is spliced from 3 exons. Lineage: Eukaryota; Metazoa; Chordata; Actinopteri; Cypriniformes; Cyprinidae. The record is from RefSeq and is a predicted model, not a curated record.
GACUACUGUAUAUGCAGUAAUCUCAUUGUGGCUGCUACCAUACUUUUUCUCUCUGAAACCUUUGCCUUUUUCUCUUGAUGUGGCUUAUAUUGGGCCUCAUCUCUUCAUUCAUGCACUCAGUUAAAAUGCUGCAGUGUUUUACGAGUUCAGCCUGUGAGAAUCCAUAUUUCAUGGCUGCUACUGGUGAAGUCUGUGCUGCUUUAAGGAUCGAUGGAAACACGUCAAAUGUCAAUUCAUCAUGUAUCAUAAGGACCUCUUUGCCCAAAGUAUAUUGCUUGAACCAGAAGGCAAAUAGUUCACCAGCCAUUGCAUCAAUUGGUUUAGGUUUUAUCAAUGUAGCUGUCAGUGUUUUCUGCUGCUCCACUGAUCACUGUAACAACGCCAGUC